RNAcentral lists this ribosomal RNA (781 nucleotides) under Vibrio parahaemolyticus. RNAcentral's name for it is "partial 23S ribosomal RNA". It matches the Rfam family "Bacterial large subunit ribosomal RNA", at positions 2168 to 2925 of the family's 2925-position model. The record is from RNAcentral. Lineage: Bacteria; Pseudomonadati; Pseudomonadota; Gammaproteobacteria; Vibrionales; Vibrionaceae.
ACGCCAGUAUGUGUGGAGCCGUCCUUGAAAUACCACCCUUGUAGUGUUGAUGUUCUAACGUUGACCCCUGAUCGGGGUUGCGGACAGUGCCUGGUGGGUAGUUUGACUGGGGCGGUCUCCUCCCAAAGAGUAACGGAGGAGCACGAAGGUGGGCUAAUCACGGUUGGACAUCGUGAGGUUAGUGCAAUGGCAUAAGCCCGCUUGACUGCGAGAAUGACAAUUCGAGCAGGUGCGAAAGCAGGUCAUAGUGAUCCGGUGGUUCUGAAUGGAAGGGCCAUCGCUCAACGGAUAAAAGGUACUCCGGGGAUAACAGGCUGAUACCGCCCAAGAGUUCAUAUCGACGGCGGUGUUUGGCACCUCGAUGUCGGCUCAUCACAUCCUGGGGCUGAAGUCGGUCCCAAGGGUAUGGCUGUUCGCCAUUUAAAGUGGUACGCGAGCUGGGUUUAGAACGUCGUGAGACAGUUCGGUCCCUAUCUGCCGUGGGCGUUGGAAGAUUGAAGGGGGCUGCUCCUAGUACGAGAGGACCGGAGUGGACGAACCUCUGGUGUUCGGGUUGUGUCGCCAGACGCAUUGCCCGGUAGCUAAGUUCGGAAUCGAUAACCGCUGAAAGCAUCUAAGCGGGAAGCGAGCCCUGAGAUGAGUCUUCCCUGAUACUUUAAGUAUCCUAAAGGGUUGUCGGAGACUACGACGUUGAUAGGUCAGGUGUGUAAGUGCUGUGAGGCAUUGAGCUAACUGAUACUAAUUGCCCGUGAGGCUUAACCAUACAACACCCAAGGGGUUU